AGUUGGACCGUAGGGGGUAAUAGUCCUGUAGGUGAAAAUUAUAAUGAUCAAGUUCUGAUCCAGAGUACCACGAGACACGUGAAACCUUGUGGGAAGCAGGGAGGACCACCUCCCAAGGCUAAAUACUACCUGAUGACCGAUAGUGAAGCAGUACCGUGAGGGAAAGGUGAAAAGAACCCCGGGAGGGGAGUGAAAUAGAACCUGAAACCAUGUGCCUACAACCGAUCAAAGCACCUUAUGUGUGUGAUGAUGUGCUUUUUGUAGAACGAGCCAACGAGUUACGGUAUGUAGCAAGGUUAAGUACUUAAGGUACGGAGCCGAAGGGAAACCGAGUCUUAAUAGGGCGACUAGUUGCAUGCUGUAGACCCGAAACCGGGUGACCUAUCCAUGGCCAGGUUGAAGCGAGGGUAAAACCUCGUGGAGGACCGAACCACGUUGCUGUUGAAAAAGCAUGGGAUGAGCUGUGGAUAGCGGAGAAAUUCCAAUCGAACUCGGAUAUAGCUGGUUCUCCUCGAAAUAGCUUUAGGGCUAGCGUCGGAAAAUGUGAGUACUGGGGGUAGAGCACUGAAUGGGCUAGGGGGCAUAGCGCUUACCGAACCUUAUCAAACUCCGAAUACCAGAUACUAUCAGUCCGGCAGUCAGACUGCGAAAGAUAAGUUCCGUAGUCAAAAGGGAAACAGCCCAGAUCGUCAGCUAAGGUCCCAAAGUGUAAGUUAAGUGGAAAAGGAUGUGGGAUUUCUAAGACAACUAGGAUGUUGGCUUAGAAGCAGCCACUCAUUAAAAGAGUGCGUAAUAGCUCACUAGUCAAGAGAUCCUGCGCCGAAAAUGUCCGGGGCUCAAACUUACCACCGAAGCUACGGGUUCACACAAUAGUGUGAGCGGUAGAGGAGCGUCGUAAUCGGGCUGAAGUCGUACCGUAAGGAGCGGUGGACUGAUUACGAGUGAGAAUGUUGGCAUUAGUAGCGAGAUGUGGGUGAGAAUCCCACAGGCCGAAUACCUAAGGUUUCCUCAGGAAGGUUCGUCCGCUGAGGGUUAGUCGGGACCUAAGCUGAGGCCGAAAGGCGUAAGCGAUGGACAAUCGGUUGAUAUUCCGAUACCACUAUUAUCGUUAUUAUCGAUGGUGUGACGGAGAAGGAUAGGAUGUGCUAGCUAUUGGAUGCUAG
RNAcentral lists this ribosomal RNA (1163 nucleotides) under Clostridium botulinum. Its description in RNAcentral is "partial 23S ribosomal RNA". It matches the Rfam family "Bacterial large subunit ribosomal RNA", at positions 348 to 1510 of the family's 2925-position model. The record is from RNAcentral. Lineage: Bacteria; Bacillati; Bacillota; Clostridia; Eubacteriales; Clostridiaceae.